This 558-nucleotide ribosomal RNA is filed under the name uncultured bacterium. RNAcentral describes it as "partial 16S ribosomal RNA". It matches the Rfam family "Bacterial small subunit ribosomal RNA", at positions 355 to 905 of the family's 1533-position model. The record is from RNAcentral.
UGGGGAAUUUUGGACAAUGGGCGAAAGCCUGAUCCAGCAAUGCCGCGUGUGUGAAGAAGGCCUUCGGGUUGUAAAGCACUUUUGUCCGGAAAGAAAUCCUCUGGGUUAAUACCUCGGGGGGAUGACGGUACCGGAAGAAUAAGCACCGGCUAACUACGUGCCAGCAGCCGCGGUAAUACGUAGGGUGCAAGCGUUAAUCGGAAUUACUGGGCGUAAAGCGUGCGCAGGCGGUUUUGUAAGACGGAUGUGAAAUCCCCGGGCUUAACCUGGGAACUGCAUUCGUGACUGCAAGGCUAGAGUAUGGCAGAGGGGGGUAGAAUUCCACGUGUAGCAGUGAAAUGCGUAGAGAUGUGGAGGAAUACCGAUGGCGAAGGCAGCCCCCUGGGCCAAUACUGACGCUCAUGCACGAAAGCGUGGGGAGCAAACAGGAUUAGAUACCCUGGUAGUCCACGCCCUAAACGAUGUCAACUAGUUGUUGGGGAUUCAUUUCCUUAGUAACGUAGCUAACGCGUGAAGUUGACCGCCUGGGGGAGUACGGUCGCAAGAUUAAAACUCAAA